This 496-nucleotide ribosomal RNA is filed under the name uncultured bacterium. RNAcentral describes it as "partial 16S ribosomal RNA". It matches the Rfam family "Bacterial small subunit ribosomal RNA", at positions 28 to 506 of the family's 1533-position model. The record is from RNAcentral.
GAUGAACGCUGACGGCGUGCCUAAUACAUGCAAGUCGAGCGAACGGACGAGAAGCUUGCUUCUCUGAUGUUAGCGGCGGACGGGUGAGUAACACGUGGAUAACCUACCUAUAAGACUGGGAUAACUUCGGGAAACCGGAGCUAAUACCGGAUAAUAUUUUGAACCGCAUGGUUCAAAAGUGAAAGACGGUCUUGCUGUCACUUAUAGAUGGAUCCGCGCUGCAUUAGCUAGUUGGUAAGGUAACGGCUUACCAAGGCAACGAUGCAUAGCCGACCUGAGAGGGUGAUCGGCCACACUGGAACUGAGACACGGUCCAGACUCCUACGGGAGGCAGCAGUAGGGAAUCUUCCGCAAUGGGCGAAAGCCUGACGGAGCAACGCCGCGUGAGUGAUGAAGGUCUUCGGAUCGUAAAACUCUGUUAUUAGGGAAGAACAUAUGUGUAAGUAACUGUGCACAUCUUGACGGUACCUAAUCAGAAAGCCACGGCUAACUACGU